RNAcentral lists this long non-coding RNA (5297 nucleotides) under Orbicella faveolata. RNAcentral describes it as "uncharacterized LOC110065370, transcript variant X1". The record is from RNAcentral. Lineage: Eukaryota; Metazoa; Cnidaria; Anthozoa; Scleractinia; Merulinidae.
CGGUUUUAACCCGGUUUUCAUCAAGCAAUACUCAUUUCAUACAAAUAAAAAAUAGAUAUUUCCAUUGAUUGUAAACUAAACAGUCCAAUUAAAGAUUGUCUCGGGGGAACCAAGGCGGUGACGCGAUUCGGUUUUACUACAGAAAUCAGAUUUCCAGGGCCGUAUUUAAUAACGAGCAAAGCGAGGUACUUGCCUCAGUAACAAUUUUGAAUUUAUUUAUAUUAUUUAUUCCAAGUUCUCGUUAUAGGCUGCGCAUUACAAAAAUAAAUCAAUGUGAAACAAGAGUUUUUUUUGCUGAUAUUGCCUUGGAAAAAAAAAUUUUACUCUGGCUAAGGUCGUCAAUUUUGACACAGACUAACGCAUGGAAAACGAGCAUGAAACGCUUGUAAUUCACUUUCUCGCAAACUAACCAAAAAUUACUUUUGAUCAGUAAACUUAUAUCGACUCUAUGUUCCAAAAUUUAAAUUUUACACAAAGGUAAAUUAGACAGAGGAUUUCUAUGCAAAUACUACUUCGCUCCAAGUUUUCAAAAUGGCGGACAAUAUGCGAUGCGCACUGGACUAGCAAACGUUAACCGCAUUUUACACGGUAAAAUUCGAGAAAUGCUAUGGAAAUUUUAUUAGAUUAGCCAUACUCUUUUCCGUAGCUCUUGGAAAAUAAAUCAAUGACGAUAAGGUUCAGAAACGCCUCAGGUUCAUUGAACCUGCUGCCAGAAGCUUCUGUGUUGUCCCGUCUCCAUAACAGGGCACGUCUUCCCACCUGAACUAAAAGCGUCAUAACAAGCCGGGCCACCGCCUAGCAAUCCAAACUAAGGAACACUUUUGAAAAUCUCUAAGUUUUCAGUCAGCCUUUGCCACUUCUGUGCUCGUCAGUGUCGCAAAACAUACGAUGAUAAUUGCGUUCGCAGAAGAAGAAUUUACUGAGGUUGUAAAAUCGCCCCAAAGGGCCACAAAGAUUGAACUGAGAGGGAUGCGGACUCUUGCACUCUUUGAAAUCGGAGAUAAGUGGAAUGUUUAAAUCGCGUGUUUAUUUGUGUUUGUGCUCCGUUGAUUUGCCAUCAGCUGGCGAUGUACACGCAAUAGAUGCUAUUUUGAGGCUUUUGAUUUUGAUCUAAGGCCGAAGAGGGCACUCUGGUACCACGAUGGCAGCUCAUGGAAACUGAAGGUUAGCCCCUGUACUUGGUUUACUUACUGAUAUUUCUUGUAAUUCAAUAAACGUUCAUAGCAAUAUACUGAACAUCGAAAGAGUUGACGUAUUUUGCUUUUACUGACUUUUUGAUUGUGAUCUAAGGCAAGAAGGCUCUCAACGAUAUAGUAGCUCAUGGAAAGUGAAGCCUACUCACAGGUGAUGUUAUAGCCAUACUCUCACACUUGUCUAAACGUGCGAGCUACCUGAACUUUGAAGAGUGAUCCAUGGAAAAUUUUAGGAUUAUCAACUUGCCAUUUAGCUAUAGGAACACAGCCGGAUUUCACCUGUUGUCUUCUUUAGUACCCAUUAGAGGCAAUCAACUAGCUAACCGUUGAGAAUUGAAAUAAUUCAAUAUCCUGAAUACAUAGGAAGUGCCGGCAAAAGUUUGAUUUUGUAGAGUAAUAUCAACACGUAUUUUUGACAUGUACAACACUGUCCACUACAGUUCUGAUGUAAGCCAAGUUAUUCUUCCAAAACGCUCUAUUUGUUUACUGUUUUCAUCCAGAUCUGUCUAGUAUACCUUCUAACGAAUUUCUGAUACCAUUUUUCUGCAUUUUUCGUUCGUCUUGAAGAUAUUUCUUCAGUUUUCUUUUCUUGAUUUCAACUAUAUUUGAAUGCUAUUGUCCAUGGGAUGCAUCUUGCUAUAUUGCAGGAUGAUAUCUUAAAUCAAUUGUGUUUUUUUUUUCUUUUUAAUCGUCUUGUAGAAUAUAUAUCUAUUCUUUGACUGACUUAUCCCAAGAGUCUUCUUUUCCAGUGCUGUUUGGCUGCUUCAGUUAACGUUGGUAACUUAUUUAAUCAAGAUUUUCUGGCUGUCUUCAUAAGAAAUAAUAUUCACAUCACUACGCCAGGGUUGUCUCAAGUGAUAAACUGUAUCAUUAACCGUCCUCCUUCCGUUAACGGUCUUGGUCUCGGCUAUAGUCGCUCAAUAUUAUUGAAGUUUUAGUUAUGAUGAUUUUACCGGUUCAGUGAAGUCUCUGCCUGUUGGACCACACGGUUCAACUUUUCUGCUUUCCAGUGAAAUCCCGUUGAAAUGCUAUUAGUCAGGUGAAGCUUAAGCGAAGCUAUUUUAAACUCUUCUGUUCACUGUAUGUUCCAGCAGAACUUUUACGGUUGAUAGAUCUGACAUGAUGACACGGGUAUUGCAACCGCUCUACUACACUACAGGCUGUUUUAUUCUCAUUCAGAUGGCGUUUAUCUAAGCGACGCAAAAUUGGCACUAUAUUUGUAAAGCGCAAUUCUGCCACACGCCAAGUCUCCCUCCUUAUUGACCUUGUUCGCAAAAGGGAUUCCCUGCUCGUCCAUUCUGUUCUCUAAAGAUUGUUGUGUAUCUGACACCCAUUGCAAUGUAAAGUUUAUACCACCAUGAUCUUGUUUUCUCAUUUUGUAAGUUCCCGAUCAAUCUUCAUCACCCGAAUCAUUCAGACCGGCUGACAAAAUUUGUCAGUUAAAGUCGCAAACAUUACUUAUCUUUUCUCCGCUAAGUUCAGUGUCGAUUUAGUAAAGGUUUGUUCGUUUAUGCGUUCUGCGGCGUUCCGAGAAUUUGUCAAUCAGUCAAAUUCCAGUCAAAACUUGCUAGCACAAUUCUGUCACAAAAUUGAAUCGAAGUGCAAUAUUGAAAAGAAAGCUGUUCUUGUACUAUUGUUAAGUGCUAAUGCCACGUGUUGACGUAUUUAGAAUUGAUAUCCGUAAAAAAAAUUACACUCAAAGACAUGCAUGAGCUAUUUAUGAGCAUAUAAACUGUAUUUUAACCGUGAUUCGUCUUAAAUUUCUUUCUUUUCAGUAGUGCCAAACGUACAGGAACUGUUCCUCUGUUGCUUAGCUGCUAAAGGAUAUAUAUCAACCCGAUUGCAACUUCCGAAUCAACCUGCAAGGGCCGAUCCCAAGCAAAGCAAAGUCCGCGCUCAGCGCGACUGAACGACUGAACCACGGUAAUUAAAGGUGAUCUGACUACCUAGGAAAAUGAUUCCACGCAAAACGUUAUAUAUAGUUGAGGUUUUUCCGUUUUAGUAAAUCGAAAAAGUCUAAAAUAACAGAAUCCGUUAUCAACUCAACUGAACUGAAGAUCAUCCUCUACGGACAAGCUUACAAAGUUUAGAAGUAAAAACGGUCGAAAUGCAUUCAACUCUAGGCAUAGUAGCUUGUAGUCUCUGUUCUCUGAUGCGUAAAAACCGUUACCAGAUAAAAGUACUACUCGCUAAUAGCCGUCUUGAGUGGCUACCGGCACACUAGGGAUUUUUCUACAUUCUUUAAACAUAGAACCACAUUGUACAGCCUAAAUAACAGUACCAAAUGAAAGUACUGUUCGACAGCUUCCAUUUAAGUGGUCACACACUGGGAUCGCUCCCGCGCACACCUAAAGUUAAUUAGGAUGCGUAAUAAACAGUGCAUUAAUUGGUAACACAGAAGUUUUCUUGCACAGAUCACUCGGCUUAAAAGGUACACCAAAAUAUGCAUUGCCGCAUGAAAGUCCUUCUCAGCUCAAUAGCUUUCAUUAAUAUGAACGAUCGCGCAUACGGGUUUCUUCAACCCACGUUAAGAGUCUGUUAAAUUAGACCCACCAUAAACGGCUCAACAAACUAUGACUAAUGGAAAAAUUGGUCCAAAGUUCAACAUGUUUCUUAUUUCUAUGUUUACAGAGAAUAUGACUAGGCUUUGGGGUGUAAAGCAUUUCAAGUUACACUGUUGAUAUUGUACCUGAGACUAAAAAAGAUAUAUGUAUGAGUGGAUAAUAUAUAGUAUUGGAUAAAGUUUGAACAGUUCAAGAAUUAAACUGCGAAUUUUUUUAAACCUUACAUGAUGAUAUCUGAUUAUAAAAAUAAUUUCCUACGCUAGAUAAUACUCGAUAGGCACGCGAAAUUAGUUCAUUUUUCAUUCCCGUAUCAAGCCUUAGCUACCAACAAGUGUUAAGUUAAAAUGGGUCAUAUAGAUAACUGGCCUCUCACUGAACCCAGUCAAUAACUUUAAUCUUCUCUGCUCUCGCGACAAAGUGUGUUAUCAGUAGAGAAGAGAGAAUAAGAAUCCCUGGGCCUUUUCUGCAAAGCAGCUCGACGUUUUGCCCAAAAGCUGUGCUCUUAGAAAAGCUUGCUUUGACUCUGAACAACAUAAUGGUAGUUAGGCUUUAUUAUUCGGCUUUGCUUGCAGGGUUCUUCUCCUAGUUCUACAUAGUAUCACACAUUUUAAUUUCGGAAACCUGCUCAGAAAACUUCAGUAUUGGACGAUCACAAUAAGAGAAAUUUUAAAAGAAUUCCAGGUCUUCUUUUGUAAAGCGGCUCAACGGUUUGCUAAAACCGGCUGUACUCUUCAAAAGGGCAUUACUUAGGGUCUGAGGUUAGACACUUCCAAAAACAACAAAAUCAUAGUAGCUUGACUUUCAUUUGCCAUUAUUUAUAUAGAGCUUCACUCAGUUCUCACUUAAAAUUAUUAAAAAGAAACUGAACUUUUCCCUAAGAGCUAUUCUACCAAAAAGCAGACCUCUUUUAACUUGCUUCUGUCCCGCUUUGUCUCUGCACCUGUCUAUAAACCUUCUUCUAGCUGGAUUCAGUAAAGACUAUGACCUUUUUUCCACUAAAAACACAGUUGUUACCUAUUGAGUUGCCCUUUGAGAUCUGGAAUUUUGAUCUCUCCUUGAUGUCUAUGUCCUUUUUUGAUGCCAUAUCAUGCGUACGUAUGUGGGCAUGAGUUUGUGUUGUCUAUGUUCUUAUUUUUUAAAACUGAGAAUUUUGCAUGAAGAGAUUUUUGUAUCUGAGUUUUGUGAGUUAUCAUUUGCAGAUAGCGUGUACGGUAAUAAAGCUUUAAUGUAAUUAUUUACUGGUGUACUGUUGAAAAAACGGAAGUAACAUGACAGCCACGCAUUUAGAAACCAAUCAGAUUCGAGGUCGAUUUCAGAAAACUGCCAUUGACCUGUCUUUGCUUAGCAACUUUUUACGCGAGUUGUAUAUAACUUGUUAUCAAAACACACAGCACAAAGCAGUGACCGACAGUAAUGGAUUUUUAUAAAUUGCUAUUGGUCUGCCUGAAUUUGUAAUGAUUAUUAUGAUGCAAUUUUCGUGUAUUAUAUAUAUCGUAAAACGCUCUUUCAAGGGAGCCCAAAUAAAUGAAAUGUACACUGA